RNAcentral lists this ribosomal RNA (395 nucleotides) under uncultured bacterium. RNAcentral describes it as "bacterial SSU rRNA". It matches the Rfam family "Bacterial small subunit ribosomal RNA", at positions 30 to 410 of the family's 1533-position model. The record is from RNAcentral.
AUUGAACGCUGGCGGCGUGCCUAACACAUGCAAGUCGAGCGGUAACAGGUGUAGCAAUACAUGCUGACGAGCGGCGAACGGGUGAGUAAUGCUUCGGAAUCUGCCCAUGUAGUGGGGAAUAACCAGCCGAAAGGUUGGCUAAUACCGCAUACGACCCUUGCCCACAAGGCAAAGGUGAAAGCAGGGGAUCGCAAGACCUUGCGCUAUUGGAUGAGCCGAAGUCGGAUUAGCUAGUUGGUAGGGUAACGGCCUACCAAGGCGACGAUCCGUAGCUGGUCUGAGAGGACGACCAGCCACACUGGGACUGAGACACGGCCCAGACUCCUACGGGAGGCAGCAGUGGGGAAUAUUGGACAAUGGGGCAACCCUGAUCCAGCGACGCCGCGUGUGUGAAG